CCUCACACGCGGCUCUUUGCCCUAAAGGUGGGGAUGGGUGAAGCAAGUGGAACUCAGUGCUUACGGAGGCCCAGUGCUCUGCUUAUUUAGGCCCCUGUGGCUCUGCUCAGAUACGGCCAGUAGUGGUUUUCCCCUGGCUGUGCCCUUCCCCCGCUCAGAUCUAGAGCUGCACCGUCACAUGGAGUGGGCUGGGCUGCACUGUCUCCUCAGCUGAGGCUGAGACACACAACAUAAAGGUCAUUGGAAUUCCAGCUGCCUUCAGAAGUCUGGGCUGCUUCCGGGGCACCACUUGAGUAAGCACCCACAAUGGCCACUAACAUCCCACCUGAGCUAUGCACUGGGCACCCAGGCAGUCUCUGUCCCUAGGUCAAGCAUUCAGCCUGGUCCUGGCCACCCUAGAGCUAAAGCAGAGCUGUGGUAUGGUACAGUGUGGUUUGAGUAGGGCUGUGGUUGGUAUUCACUUGCUUGGAGAGUGUGGUGAGGUGGCAAUCACUAGGGCAGACCCCUUUUCACCUUUCCUGGGGGUGACCUAACACCCCUCAUGGAUGGAGUCUGAGAUUCUCUACCCUUUUUAGAUAGAAAGCACUUUUCCAAGCAGCCACAGAGGCAUGCCUCCCCCACACAGGACCCCAGGACUAGGACACCCAGUCUAUUGUUCAACCUGCUCACUCACCAGGGCAAGUAUCCGCCCAUGUGAUCUCUUUUUCUCUGAGUCCCGUCCCAGGGGCACAGGCACUGACACGACCACUUGUCUGCACAUUAUGCCCGAUUGCAUGUGUAUCUCUGAUACACCCUUGGCUGCAGGAGUUGUUCUGCCAGCUCCCAGUUAGUUCCCCGUGAGAACUCUUCCACGCAUCCCUGUGUUAACACGUUUGUGUCGGGAAGUAAGCUGCGUGUCCUUUUCCUCUACCAUUGGUUUCCCACUGAAGAAGUCUUUAAGUCUUACUCUUUACAAUGUUUCGUCAUCAGUGUUCCACUGAAACAUAUUUAUAAAUGGCCUAUUCUUAGUAUUAAGCUUUGCGUAGCCUUUGUAAUUAAAAUAUUUUGGGACACAGUCUUUUCAAAUUAUAUUACAUUUUUAUGGAAUUGCUUUUCUAUGUACAUAUAAGCUUAUAAAGUUUCACUGCUUACAAAUUUUCAUGGAUUAUAAGAAUAAAUGCUUACUAAAUUCUUCCCAUACUGUGUUUAUUAAAUAUUUAAGAUAAUUUUGCCUCUGAUACUUUUUACCUCCUUUUGUUCUCAAAUCAUAUUUUCCAGAGAGCUAAGGUAUGAAAUUUUAAAAUUUAAUUUGUAAGUUCAGGAUCAGUCAACUUUUUUUUUUUUUUUUUUGAUGAAAGGGUUUUAAGAAAGGGAUAAACCAUGGAUUAAAGCCCCAGGCAAAUGGUUAACCCAGGGAAGUAUUUGGACAGUAUACUGGAUGGAAUGAUAUGCCUUCACCUGUAUACCAGAUUCUCAGUAAGAACAUUAUAAUGUUUGGGAAUGGAUAAUUCUUUAUUUCAGCAUGCUGCUCUGACCACUUUAGGAUAUUUAACAGCAUUCCUGGCCUCUAUCAACUGUAUCCCAGGAUCACUCUCUUCUGCAGCUGAAGCAAUAAAAACAUCUCUAGACCUUGACAAGUAUUCCUUGGAGGGGCAAAACCACUGCCAGUUCUAUAUAUAUAAGAACUUCCAUUUGUCAGAAUUCCAGAAUUGUCAUUUUUUGUAGAGUGAUUUGGUUCUAGAAAUUCUGGCUUAACACCUCUAUUUUGGGCCUUCUACCCAAUGCCACAUCUCAUUUCCAUGAAGGCAUUCCAGAAUAUCAUCUCCAGAACAUUCUGGCUGUCCCACCCUGCAGGCUGGCAACAGUGAAACCCAUGCUGAAAAUCAUGUCCAGGAUAGCAAUCCUGAAACCCAAGCUGAAUAUCCCAGUCCUCAGCCUGCAUACCCUGAAACACAGAUUGGCUAUCUAGUCGUCCAAGCUGGAAAAACAGGAUGUGGCCUAGUUGACAUUCCGGUCCAAUACCAGCAAGUGUCUCUUCAGCCAAAUAUACCUGCAAAGCCACUAUAUAUUAUAAAACUAGUACCUUCACCAGACUGUCCACCAGGGUUACAAUAUUUAAGUCAGGUAAAUCAAAUCCUGAUUCAUCAGCAAAUUGAACUUACAGAAGGUAUGUAUUCCUUGUAUUGAUUAUAUUUCUAGAAAGAGGAGAUAUUUAUGCAGAUUAAGGCAUGUCAUCAACCACAAAUACAACACUUUUAGUGAUGUUGGGCCAUUAAACUGGUUAUUUACAAAAGUC
Molecule: non-coding RNA, 2275 nt
Organism: Odocoileus virginianus texanus
Lineage: Eukaryota; Metazoa; Chordata; Mammalia; Artiodactyla; Cervidae
Source: RefSeq, a predicted model, not a curated record